UAUAUGCACUGACAAAUUUUGCAAAAAAAAAAAAACGAUAAGCAUAAAAGAUUAAGGGAACUAACAUGCUUCAUUUAAAUUUUGCUCUGCGCGUCUGAAUGGCAUCAAAGUCAUCAAUAAGUUGAUCGGUUGUAAACUCCACUGUAAUCUCCUUUUCAAUGUAAAUUAUUAAGUAAUCUCUUAGGAACCCAUCUUCUAUCUUAUUCCAAAGCCUGGUUUUAACAAGUUCCAUUGCAGAAAAGGCACGCUCUGUCGACUGUCGUAGCCGUGG
RNAcentral lists this long non-coding RNA (271 nucleotides) under Sorghum bicolor (sorghum). Its description in RNAcentral is "long non-coding RNA (SBIC_LNC003998)". Lineage: Eukaryota; Viridiplantae; Streptophyta; Magnoliopsida; Poales; Poaceae. The record is from RNAcentral.